UACGGGGGGGGCAAGCGUUGUUCGGAAUUACUGGGCGUAAAGGGCUCGUAGGUGGCCAACUAAGUCAGACGUGAAAUCCCUCGGCUUAACCGGGGAACUGCGUCUGAUACUGGAUGGCUUGAGUUCGGGAGAGGGAUGCGGAAUUCCAGGUGUAGCGGUGAAAUGCGCAGAUAUCGGGAGGAACACCAAUGGCGAAGGCAGCUCGCUGGGACGUUACUGACGCUGAGACGCGAAAGCGUGGGGAGCAAACAGG
RNAcentral lists this ribosomal RNA (253 nucleotides) under uncultured bacterium. RNAcentral describes it as "partial 16S ribosomal RNA". It matches the Rfam family "Bacterial small subunit ribosomal RNA", at positions 524 to 776 of the family's 1533-position model. The record is from RNAcentral.